AGGAAGCAUUGACGACUAUUCUCUCUCCGCUUAGCUGCUUUGCAUUUGCUGCCUACAGAAAAGCAAUUUGCCUUUCUGCAGAUAAACCUUGCCAGUUCAUCAGCAACCUAGAUGUACCACAAAGACAUUCAGAAAAUAUCCAACAGAUCAAGAACACAAGAGGAUGAAUCAUCAACCGUUCAAUUCAUAAAUGAAAUGACAUAAUUUACAUUUUCACAGACAUAUACAUGGAGAAAUUUAAGAUAUCUUAUUAUAUUUAUUAAGAAGCAA
This is a long non-coding RNA of Oxyura jamaicensis (ruddy duck), 270 nucleotides long. RefSeq lists it as uncharacterized. The record is from RefSeq and is a predicted model, not a curated record. NCBI's taxonomy places the organism in Eukaryota, Metazoa, Chordata, Aves, Anseriformes, Anatidae. The transcript has 2 exons.